GUGCUCACUUUGGCAGCAUAUAUACUAAAAUUGGAAGAACAUAGAGAAGAUUAGCAUGGUCCCUGCACAAGGGUGACACAUAAACUCGUGAGUGUUCUGUAUUUUUU
Small nuclear RNA from Otolemur garnettii (small-eared galago), 107 nucleotides. Lineage: Eukaryota; Metazoa; Chordata; Mammalia; Primates; Galagidae. The record is from Ensembl.